RNAcentral lists this long non-coding RNA (209 nucleotides) under Capsicum annuum. Its description in RNAcentral is "long non-coding RNA (CANN_LNC009734)". The record is from RNAcentral. Lineage: Eukaryota; Viridiplantae; Streptophyta; Magnoliopsida; Solanales; Solanaceae.
CAAAUAUAUAUUCAAUAAUUCAAAUUGUCAUUGGGAAGCAUAAGGCUUGACACGUAUCUCAAAAUAUUAUUCCAAAAUACCAUCUCGACAUACGUCCCAAAAUCAUUCAAAAUACCACCUCGUGGUAAAAGUGUGUAAUUCGCAAUGAUAAUUAUUAAAUCAUAUCAUGAAAACAUUGAGAUAAUCAUAUAAAUCAAGGUUUAUUCAUU